This 477-nucleotide ribosomal RNA is filed under the name uncultured bacterium. RNAcentral's name for it is "partial 16S ribosomal RNA". It matches the Rfam family "Bacterial small subunit ribosomal RNA", at positions 28 to 506 of the family's 1533-position model. The record is from RNAcentral.
GAUGAACGCUGGCGGCGUGCUUAACACAUGCAAGUCGAACGAGAAGUGAAGACGGAAACCUUCGGGCGGAAGGCUUUAUUUCGAGUGGCGGACGGGUGAGUAACGCGUGGGUAACCUGCCUCAUACAGGGGGAUAACAGUUGGAAACGACUGUUAAUACCGCAUAAGACCACAGCACCGCAUGGUGCGGGGGUAAAAACUCCGGUGGUAUGAGAUGGACCCGCGUUCGAUUAGCCAGUUGGCGGGGUAACGGCCCACCAAAGCGACGAUCGAUAGCCGAUCUGAGAGGAUGACCGGCCACAUUGGGACUGAGACACGGCCCAAACUCCUACGGGAGGCAGCAGUGGGGAAUAGUGCACAAUGGGGGAAACCCUGAUGCAGCGACGCCGCGUGAGUGAAGAAGUAUUUCGGUAUGUAAAGCUCUAUCAGCAGGGAAGAAAAUGACGGUACCUGAGUAAGAAGCCCCGGCUAACUACGU